This 459-nucleotide precursor RNA is filed under the name Arabidopsis thaliana (thale cress). RNAcentral's name for it is "pre-miRNA 856". The stretch from base 139 to 395 matches the Rfam family "MIR856 microRNA precursor family". Lineage: Eukaryota; Viridiplantae; Streptophyta; Magnoliopsida; Brassicales; Brassicaceae. The record is from RNAcentral.
AUGUAAUCAUUGUGAUUGUAUACGAAACAGAACACAAAUAAGGGAUUAUUUAAUGCCAAUGACCAUUGUUUACCUCUCGUCUCUAUACAAACCAAAGUGUCUUGUGUAUUCAAUUCUGAUGAGCCGCUUAUGUAUAAGAGGUGAGACUGUUGGCUUUAAUCCUACCAAUAACUUCAGCUGCAUCAUGAAGAGUAGACAGAGAUUCUGGCGGUUGAGGGUUUCUUCGUAGAGGUUGAUCGAUUCUUAAUGUCCUGUGGAUUUUAAGUUCCCAAAACUGUUGCUUAGGACAUACAAGAUCGUUCAAUGUCCAAGAAGAAACCUGAGCCGCUACAAUCAUCGGUCUAAUCUCUUUAGCAGAUGAAGUUAUUUGUGGUAUAAAACCCACAGUUUUAUCAUGCAUUCUCACAUAUCCAUGAUCCAUCUGUACACAAUUGGCAAUUCUCAAACAAUUAUAGCGUU